CCUUAAUCAUCAUCUCAUCUUCUUCUUAUCAUUGAAAUUUCUAAUGGCUUAAUAGAUUGAAUUCUUGGAGUUCACUCAAAGAAAGUACUAGAUGGAACUUUUUAGUCAAAGAAAAAAAAGAGAGAUUCCAUAACGUGAAAGCAACAGAGCAGUAGUAGUACAUAAGCCGAAAGGUCAAUAUCGUCAGGCCAUAGUCAAACUCUGAGCGCAUGACUGUAAUAUCAGGGAGAAACAAAGGGCAAUAGUUUGUUUUCCUUUUAUAUAUACCAAGGGACAACCUGCAACUGCUUAUCACACAACUAUAACGUUCUUCAACAAAUACUUCCUCUGUUUUCUCUUUUAUUCUCUAAUCUCUCAAGCCUGUAGAUCUUUGCAAAAAAAAAUGGCAGGUGCAAGGGGAGAAAUGAUCAACGGUGGGAAUUAUUCGCCGAGGAUUGCUGGACGUCCGAUCCCAAGGAGGGGUCAAGUGAAAAUUGCUAUCUUAAUGGGGAUUGCCCAUUCUUUUGCUUCUAUUUUCUCUGCAAGUAGUCGCAGGCAAUCUGCAUCUCACUUGUCCUAGGUUGUUUAAUUUCUCCCAAAAAGUAAGAGAACUGGGAGGGUAAACGUUGCCCGUCCUAGGAAAGAUGUGAGCUGUUUUUUUUUUGUCGAUGUUCAUAUCAGUUUUGUACAGAGCUUGUAUUUAUAGCUUUUCAGAUGAAUGAAUUUUCAGUUUCUUUUUUUCCUAUCAGUUUCAGUUGAUCUUCUGAUUGAUUAUCAUCUCUCGGUACUUUGAAUUUGAAGAAAGGCAAUUUUCAAGUUUAAAAAGGUAAAAUAAUAUCAAUCUUAUGGAACUUCUCUCCAUCUUCUUUGUUCAUUUAUUUUAAUUUUGUGUUGAUUCAAAGAAGAAUCAGUCUCAAAAGUUCUCCGUUUUGUUCGUCGCAUAGAUCUGGUAGCAAAGCAAUUAUAUUUAGUCAUACUGGGCGAUGAAUUAAGAUGACACCGAGUUACAUAAAGGUGGUUGGGGAUUUGUCAAGCGAUUGCUUUUAUCAAAUUCUUGCAAGUUAUGACCUUUGGAAAAACAUAACAUAGAAAAGUACGCUACGCAAUUUCAAUAUAGCAGAAGGCCUAAAUUCAGGACAGAAUAUCAAGUAGAAACUCCCGAGGUAUGCUCUAGAUCCGAACAUGACCAAGAGAAGUUUGUGCAGAUUUGAAAACGGUUUGUUUCCAAGGCCACAACACAAAAGCAAGCAACUGCUAAACGUUGAUUUGCUCAUUUGUUGAUAGCAGAUAAAACAAAGAGAACAUUUUUGUCAAAUUUUUGUGCCAGUUUCAUGUUGUGCUAUUUUCUUUUUAAUGGCAUUGAAAAUUCGUCUAAUGCAUUAAAGUUAUUCUGGCAAGCCAAAUGCAACCGCAAAGAAACCACGGUAAUGAAUCAGAUAAACCCUUGUAGUUCAAAAGCUUGGUAUCUCAAGUUCCAUCCUUGUAGUGCAAAGGUGUGAGGUAAAGUUCCAUCCUUCUAUGACAGUUUCAUGCAUUGGUAUUUCAGUUCCAUCCUUGUAGCGCAAAAGUUGUGAGUUAAAGUCUUGGAUGGCACAAGUGACCUCAGGAAUCUUGACAGUUCCCUAAAACACGACAUAAUUAGUUUAUUUAAAUUUCAGGUGAUUUUCUAUAGUUUAAUGAGCAAAGGAUUGCCGAGGUUUCUGCUUAUUUGAAUAGUCUUACGUGCAAGCAUCAUCUGGGAAUUUCAAUGAAGUGAGCUUUGUCAAUGCCGGAUUUAGCCAGGCCAGACACAGAGGGACGAAACGUCCCCAUUGGGGUAGUGAGGUGGCAAACUUUUAACCGCUGUUGCAGCCUGGGGGGCUGUAAAAGGGCCUAAGAAAUUAGGCAGUGAAUAGCUGCCAAUGCUUUUUUCUUCUUUUGCGUAUUCUUUAACAUGACUUGAAACUGGUUCCCAUGAAGAUUUUAAAUGUGUUACAACAUUCCGAAAC
RNAcentral lists this long non-coding RNA (1967 nucleotides) under Gossypium raimondii (Peruvian cotton). Its description in RNAcentral is "long non-coding RNA (GRAI_LNC006995)". Lineage: Eukaryota; Viridiplantae; Streptophyta; Magnoliopsida; Malvales; Malvaceae. The record is from RNAcentral.